Molecule: ribosomal RNA, 269 nt
Filed under: uncultured Planctomycetales bacterium
Lineage: Bacteria; Pseudomonadati; Planctomycetota; Planctomycetia; Planctomycetales
Description: partial 16S ribosomal RNA
Rfam family: Bacterial small subunit ribosomal RNA
Source: RNAcentral
GAGCACGUAGGUGGGUUUGUAAGUCAGAUGUGAAAGCCUUCUGUUCAACGGAAGAAUUGCAUCUGAAACUGCGAGUCUUGAGUGUAGGAGGGGAGAAUGGAACUUCUGGUGGAGCGGUGAAAUGCGUAGAUAUCAGAAGGAACUCCGGCGGUGAAAGCGAUUCUCUGGCCUAUUACUGACACUCAGUGUGCGAAAGCUAGGGGAGCAAACGGGAUUAGAUACCCCGGUAGUCCUAGCCGUAAACGAUGGGCACUAAGUAGAGGGGUUUU